CCUACGGGAGGCAGCAGUGGGGAAUAUUGGACAAUGGGGGCAACCCUGAUCCAGCCAUGCCGCGUGUGUGAAGAAGGCCCUCGGGUUGUAAAGCACUUUCAGUGAGGAAGAACGCCUGGUGGUUAAUACCCAUCAGGAAAGACAUCACUCACAGAAGAAGCACCGGCUAACUCCGUGCCAGCAGCCGCGGUAAUACGGAGGGUGCGAGCGUUAAUCGGAAUUACUGGGCGUAAAGCGCGCGUAGGUGGCUUGAUAAGCCGGUUGUGAAAGCCCCGGGCUCAACCAGGGAACGGCAUCCGGAACUGUCAAGCUAGAGUGCAGGAGAGGAAGGUAGAAUUCCCGGUGUAGCGGUGAAAUGCGUAGAGAUCGGGAGGAAUACCAGUGGCGAAGGCGGCCUUCUGGACUGACACUGACACUGAGGUGCGAAAGCGUGGGUAGCAAACAGGAUUAGAUACCCUUGUAGUC
Molecule: ribosomal RNA, 465 nt
Filed under: Vreelandella stevensii
Lineage: Bacteria; Pseudomonadati; Pseudomonadota; Gammaproteobacteria; Oceanospirillales; Halomonadaceae
Description: partial 16S ribosomal RNA
Rfam family: Bacterial small subunit ribosomal RNA
Source: RNAcentral